This 379-nucleotide long non-coding RNA is filed under the name Volvox carteri. RNAcentral's name for it is "long non-coding RNA (VCAR_LNC004215)". The record is from RNAcentral. Lineage: Eukaryota; Viridiplantae; Chlorophyta; Chlorophyceae; Chlamydomonadales; Volvocaceae.
GGCAUAAAAACAGUGUUUAAUUUCUCUAGAAAAAAUAGGGACCAAAUCAUGGUCAUGUAACACACGGCCUUUAGCCUUUGUGACAAGAGCACUUGGGUAAAGGGCAUCGCACUACUUUUUGACGUUUUUUUUUUCAAAAGCUCUUGAACUAUAAGUGUAGUUAGUUUCCUAACUAGUAAAUCUUUCCCCAAGGCAACUCCGUUGUAGUUUCCUACUACAACUAGACUUAACGUAGUUAGGGGCAUAGCCCUUUCCUUGUCAUAACGUCCCCUAAAGGGGAAGAAGGGGAUGACCGAAGGGGAUGACCGAAGGGGAUGACCGAAGGGGAUGACCGAAGGGGAUGACCGAAGGGGAUGACCGAAGGGGAUGACCGAAGGGG